GGACUCAUAUUGAAACCUAGUGAUUUAUGAGUUAGUGGCGGACGGGUGAGUAACGCGUGGAUAACCUGCCGUAUACCGGGGGAUAACACUUAGAAAUAGGUGCUAAUACCGCAUAAGCGCACGGCUCCGCAUGGGGCAGUGUGAAAAACUCCGGUGGUAUACGAUGGAUCCGCGUCUGAUUAGCUAGUUGGCGGGGUAACGGCCCACCAAGGCAGCGAUCAGUAGCCGGCCUGAGAGGGUGGACGGCCACAUUGGGACUGAGACACGGCCCAAACUCCUACGGGAGGCAGCAGUGGGGAAUAUUGCACAAUGGGGGAAACCCUGAUGCAGCGACGCCGCGUGAGUGAAGAAGUAUCUCGGUACGUAAAGCUCUAUCAGCAGGGAAGAAAAUGACGGUACCUGACCAAGAAGCCCCGGCUAACUACGUGCCAGCAGCCGCGGUAAUACGUAGGGGGCAAGCGUUAUCCGGAUUUACUGGGUGUAAAGGGAGCGUAGACGGCAGCACAAGUCUGGAGUGAAAUCCCGGGGCUUAACCCCGGAACUGCUUUGGAAACUGUGCGGCUGGAGUGCAGGAGGGGUAAGCGGAAUUCCUAGUGUAGCGGUGAAAUGCGUAGAUAUUAGGAGGAACACCGGUGGCGAAGGCGGCUUACUGGACUGUAACUGACGUUGAGGCUCGAAAGCGUGNGGAGCAAACAGGAUUAGAUACCCUGGUAGUCCACNCCGUAAACGAUGAUUACUAGGUGUCGGGGGACCAAGGUCCUCCGGUGCCGGCGCAAACGCAUUAAGUAAUCCACCUGGGGAGUACGUUCGCAAGAAUGAAACUCAAAG
Molecule: ribosomal RNA, 828 nt
Filed under: uncultured bacterium
Lineage: Bacteria
Description: bacterial SSU rRNA
Rfam family: Bacterial small subunit ribosomal RNA
Source: RNAcentral